UACUUUCAGCGGGGAGGAAGGGAGUAAAGUUAAUACCUUUGCUCAUUGACGUUACCCGCAGAAGAAGCACCGGCUAACUCCGUGCCAGCAGCCGCGGUAAUACGGAGGGUGCAAGCGUUAAUCGGAAUUACUGGGCGUAAAGCGCACGCAGGCGGUUUGUUAAGUCAGAUGUGAAAUCCCCGGGCUCAACCUGGGAACUGCAUCUGAUACUGGCAAGCUUGAGUCUCGUAGAGGGGGGUAGAAUUCCAGGUGUAGCGGUGAAAUGCGUAGAGAUCUGGAGGAAUACCGGUGGCGAAGG
RNAcentral lists this ribosomal RNA (298 nucleotides) under Escherichia coli. RNAcentral describes it as "partial 16S ribosomal RNA". It matches the Rfam family "Bacterial small subunit ribosomal RNA", at positions 431 to 721 of the family's 1533-position model. Lineage: Bacteria; Pseudomonadati; Pseudomonadota; Gammaproteobacteria; Enterobacterales; Enterobacteriaceae. The record is from RNAcentral.